RNAcentral lists this ribosomal RNA (356 nucleotides) under uncultured bacterium. RNAcentral describes it as "bacterial SSU rRNA". It matches the Rfam family "Bacterial small subunit ribosomal RNA", at positions 1 to 334 of the family's 1533-position model. The record is from RNAcentral.
CUAGCGACUUCAGAGUUUGAUCCUGGCUCAGGAUGAACGCUGGCGGCGUGCUUAACACAUGCAAGUCGAACGAAGCAUUUUACUACGAUUCCUUCGGGAUGACGGUGAUUUGACUGAGUGGCGGACGGGUGAGUAACGCGUGGGUAACCUGCCUUAUACAGGGGGAUAACAGUUGGAAACGACUGCUAAUACCGCAUAAGCGCACGGUAUCGCAUGAUACAGUGUGAAAAACUCCGGUGGUAUAAGAUGGACCCGCGUCUGAUUAGCUAGUUGGUGGGGUAACGGCCCACCAAGGCGACGAUCAGUAGCCGACCUGAGAGGGUGACCGGCCACAUUGGGACUGAGACACGGCCCAA